GCCCGGGUAGCUCAAUCGGUAGAGCGUGUGGCUCUUAUAACACAUAUAUAGAUCACCUCAAGGUCGUGGGUUCGAGCCCCACCUCGGGCU
Molecule: transfer RNA, 90 nt
Filed under: Drepanopeziza brunnea f. sp. 'multigermtubi' MB_m1
Lineage: Eukaryota; Fungi; Ascomycota; Leotiomycetes; Helotiales; Drepanopezizaceae
Description: Marssonina brunnea f. sp. 'multigermtubi' MB_m1 tRNA
Rfam family: tRNA
About the family: Transfer RNA (tRNA) molecules are approximately 80 nucleotides in length. Their secondary structure includes four short double-helical elements and three loops (D, anti-codon, and T loops).
Source: Rfam by way of RNAcentral